UCCUGGAGGCUGUGUCGACAGGCCUGGCCUAAAAUAAAGCCUCUGCUGCCCAAAUUUUAAUUUUGUGCUUCCUUGGAUUUUAUUCCAGGGUACAAGCUUUCACAUUUGGGGACUCAUCUGGGGUGGAAGCAAGACCCCCGACUCAAUUCUGAACACCUAAAAGAAUGGCCAUUAGGGACCCAGCAGGUUUGGCCCCCUCCGGGUCUUUCAACAUGGAGACAGCACAAGCUGCUUGCUGAUCCUGCACAUCCUCUUCAUGGCCAAAGAGAGACUGCACUUUUGCACUUGGGCAAAAAGAAGUUUGAGAACAGAGCGGAUCUAUAUCCAAUGAUGAGCAGAGAACUGAACACCUGUUCCCUUCCUCCCAACCUAACUGGGACCCCAAUACAGGUGAAGGUAAGUGGGAUCUCGAUGAUUAUCACCUGAGGCGUCUAGACGUGCUCCAUGCUGCCACCAAGAAGCCUAUCAAUUUAUCUCAAGUCACUGAGGUAAGACAAUUAGCCGAUGAAUCUCCUGUUAUGUUUUUAGUGUGCCUUUUAGAGGUAUAUAGAUUACAUACACCAAUUAAUCCAAUGGCACCCAAAAACACACAAACAAUUAAUAUUGCUUUCAUGUCACAGUUAGCCCUUGAUGUUAGGAAAAAGUUACUAAAGCUUGAGAGAUUUGAAGGGGUGCCCCUCCACCAGUAGAGAUAGCACAAAAGGUCUUUGAAAACAGAGAGAUCUUGCAGGAAGCCACAAAUCAAAAAAUGGCCAAGGUGUUAGAAUUGCUGUGUGAAAAAGAAACUAAGAGAUCAGCCAAUGCUAACAAGAUGGAGGCCCAAGGUCAGCGACCUCCUCUAGAUAUAGAACAAUGUGCAUACUGCAAAGAGAUGGGACAUUGGUGUAAAGAUUGCCCAAUGCUAAAGGUGAAGUUAGAGAAAGAAGCAAAGGCCCUGUUGUCUCAAUGAAGAGGUCAGGGCUCCUUGCCACCCCUUGAGCCCCGUAUAACUCUUCAAGUGGGGGUGCAACUGGUGGACUUCCUGGUUGAUACAGGAGCAACCUAUUCUGUGCUAACCCAAUCCUUAGGAAAGCUAACCAAGGACUCGGUUAAUGUGAUAGGAGCUUCAGGGGGAUGAAAAGUACCCAAAAGUGACAGCUAGUUUGGUUCGACCUGGACAUAAGCUGGUCCAACAUGAUUUUCUAUGGGUACGAGAGUGCCCAGACCCUCUCCUAGGAUGAGACCUCCUCCUUAAAUUGCAAGUGCAAAUUGAUUUCUUUACAAAGGAGCCAGGGCUAAGACAGGGGACAGACUCAACCCCAGACCCUGAAGGCAUCAGAAUACUAGCUCUUGUCCCAGAAGGGGAAAAUUACCACCCACUGAGAAACUUGUCCAGUAUGCCUUAGUAGUCAGCCACAGAUUUGGAGCUAGAGCUAUUAGACAAAUGGAAACAAGAAAUUCCAGAGGUGUGGGCUGAAACCAACCCCCCAGGGUUGGCAGUCUAUCAAGUGCCCCUUGUGGUGGAGCUUCUACCCCAAGCGCAUCCCAUUUGUUUGUGUCAUUAUCCAACAAGCCUACAAGCCCAACAGGGAAUGAAAGUUCACAUUCAGAGACUAAGGGGCAAUGGUAUCCUUAUUCUGUGUGUCUCCCCAUGGAAAACGCCUCUAAUUCCAGUCCAGAAAACAGGGGCGACUGACUACCACCCUGUACAAGAUCUCCGAGUAGUUAAUAGAUGGUCAUUGACUCUGCACCCCAUGUUACCUAACCCUUAUACUUUACUCAGCCUCCUCAACCCAGAUAACACCUGGUACUCCAUUUUGGACCUCAAGGAUGCCUUUUUCACUCUGCCUCUCGCCCCGACACUCCAGCCUGUGUUGGCCUCGAUCCACCAGCUGUUUAGACAAAAACACCCGGACCCACCUUCAGAGAUGCCACUCAAAGCACCAAUCAAGCCAGGAACCUCUGUCCUAGUGUGACAUCACCAUCGAGACUCCCUCAAACCCUGUUGGGAAGGACCCUUCACCGUCAUGCUCAGUACCCCCACUGCCAUCAAGGUAGCAGGAAAAUCUGCAUGGAUUCAGCACACUCACGUAAAGCCACUGGAAACAUUGGACAAUGAGGGAAAUACUCAGUGGACUAUACAACAGACUGGUGACCCCUUGAAGUUAAAAUUGACUAAACAUAGUUAGAUUAUACCAGUCAUAAACUUUAGCUUGCUUGCUUUUGCUCCUUCUGUGUCACUGCUGGGAUUUUUAAUAACAUUGAUGCUGGCCUUGCACAGUGGCUUUGGUCCCCCUGUAAGCAAAGAACAAUUGUUGAGAUCUUUGUAUGGGAACCCCUGUGAUUGUGAAGGAGGCUACACUAAAGUUAAAGACACCAGCUGGGCUGAAGUAUACAUACAAUAGAAAAAAGAUCAUGGUCCUUCCCACAUAAAUGAUAAAUUAACUGGCCAAGGAUUGGCCUCAGUCACAACAUCAGAGGGGAAUGUUGUAACCUAGUUCUAAACAAUUCAUCUACUUUCUGUUCUGUAUGUGUUGUUUCAAUAGAGAUUAAAAUUCCAUCUCCAGUAAAGAUUUAAAUUUCAGCUCCUUGUAAAGCCUCCUCACCUCCCCAUUCUUUUUAAGUCUCCAUUUCCCAUAAAAGCUUUGUUUCAGUUUCUUGUAAUACCGUCACACCCUUCAAUACAAUGUGCUGUCCUUAAGAAACGUUUAACUACAAGGAAGUUAUCAAACUGGGUCAAAGUUCACAAUAUUCCUGUGGUUUUCGGCUUUAAAACCCAACUCUUUUAGCAGUAAGGUGAGCAGUCUCCAUAUUGGCUCCUGGAGGCUGUGUCACCAGGCCUGGCCUAAAAUAAAGCCUUUGCUCCCCAAAUUUUAAUUUCUUGCU
Molecule: long non-coding RNA, 2865 nt
Organism: Cavia porcellus (domestic guinea pig)
Lineage: Eukaryota; Metazoa; Chordata; Mammalia; Rodentia; Caviidae
Exons: 4
Source: RefSeq, a predicted model, not a curated record